AUACGGAGGGUGCGAGCGUUACUCGGAGUCACUGGGCGUAAAGCGUCCGUAGGCGGUCGGGUAAGUCGGGUGUGAAAGCCCCGGGCUCAACCUGGGAAGUGCACCCGAUACUGCUCGACUCGAGUGCGGGAGAGGAUGGCGGAAUUCCCGGUGUAGCGGUGAAAUGCGUAGAGAUCGGGAGGAACACCAGUGGCGAAGGCGGCCAUCUGGCCCGCAACUGACGCUGAGGGACGAAAGCGUGGGGAGCAAACAGGAUUAGAAACCCGGGUAGUCC
RNAcentral lists this ribosomal RNA (274 nucleotides) under uncultured bacterium. Its description in RNAcentral is "partial 16S ribosomal RNA". It matches the Rfam family "Bacterial small subunit ribosomal RNA", at positions 523 to 796 of the family's 1533-position model. The record is from RNAcentral.